Molecule: small nuclear RNA, 328 nt
Filed under: Canis lupus familiaris (dog)
Lineage: Eukaryota; Metazoa; Chordata; Mammalia; Carnivora; Canidae
Also listed under: 1 other name
Description: 7SK RNA
Rfam family: 7SK RNA
About the family: 7SK was discovered as an abundant small nuclear RNA in the mid-70s but a possible function has only recently been suggested.
Source: Rfam by way of RNAcentral
GGAUGUGAGGGCAACCUGGCUAUGACAUAUGUCAUUCUAUUGAUCACCAGGGUUGAUUCAGCUGUUCUGGCCAGCUAAGCAGGUGUCCCCUUCCUCCCUCACCACUCCAUGUACAUUCUUCUCAAGGCUGCAUGGUCAGUCAAAGAGGACAUUUCCUGAUAGAAGAUGACCAUUCUUUGGUCAAGAGUAUAUGAGUAGCUGUGCUCCCUUGCUAGAACCUUCAAACAAGCUCUCAAUGUCCAUUUGUAGGAGAAUGUAGAGCAGUCAAGCUUCCAAGACUCCAGACAUACCCAAAUGAUGUGCUGUAUGUAGCAAUCUGCCUUUCUUA